UGUUAAAUUGAUAUUGCGUACUUUUAUGAAUCCCGUACAUCAGUAAUAUAAGUCUCGAAAGUUAUCUAAAGUCUCACGAGUAGACGAAAAAGACAGGUGGAGGGGUUGGAAGGGGGCUGUGGUGGUGGCGAUGGAAAUCGCAUUCGCUCGUGUACGUGUUACGAGUGAUGAUAACGAUUUAAAAAACAAUAUUCGAAACAAGACCGUGAAUCGAAUCCGU
Molecule: non-coding RNA, 220 nt
Organism: Cinara cedri
Lineage: Eukaryota; Metazoa; Arthropoda; Insecta; Hemiptera; Aphididae
Source: the annotation of a GenBank genome assembly